RNAcentral lists this ribosomal RNA (110 nucleotides) under Sutcliffiella rhizosphaerae. Lineage: Bacteria; Bacillati; Bacillota; Bacilli; Caryophanales; Bacillaceae. The record is from RNAcentral.
UGGUGGCGAUAGCGAAGAGGUCACACCCGUUCCCAUACCGAACACGGAAGUUAAGCUCUUCAGCGCCGAUGGUAGUUGGGGGCUGUCCCCCUGUGAGAGUAGGACGUUGC